AGUUGCCUGGUGAGCACAAAGCGAACUAUUCUUUCGCCUUUUACUAAAGAAUACCAUGUGCACGCCACAUCAAGCAGCAGACACCUAUUUUUGAAGGGAUCUCUCCUCUUAUGAGAAGGGU
Triticum aestivum (bread wheat) is the source of this 121-nucleotide non-coding RNA. NCBI's taxonomy places the organism in Eukaryota, Viridiplantae, Streptophyta, Magnoliopsida, Poales, Poaceae. The record is from Rfam.